CACAGAUGCACAUGAAAUUUGGUGCCGUGACUCGGAUUGGGGGACCUCCCUUGGGAGAUCAAUCCCCUGUACUCCUGUUCUUUGCUCCGUGAGAAAGAUCCACCUAUGACCCUCAGGUCCUCAGACCGACUAGCCCAAGGAACAUCUCACCAAUUUUAAAUCAGGUGGAGUCUCGCACUGUCAUCCUGGCUGGAAUGCAGUGGUGCAAGCCGACUCACUGCAACCUCUGCCUCUUGGGUUCAAGUGAUUCUCCUGCUUCAGCCUCCUGAUUUGCUGGGAUUGCAGAGCAAACCAGUGAAAAAAUGGCCUUCGCACUCCUGAGAGACCUUUCACCGGGCUUUCUACUUUUGAAUUCUCUCCAUAGCUGGUUUCCUCUUAGGCCUCGAUAGAGCAGUCCCUGAAUCACACAGGUAUGCUGACUACGUCUUUUCCUGGUACAAACCAUCAUGGGGGAAACACACAGCAAGAAGCAUCUUCAGGUCACAAGAUAGACUUUGGGAAUCACCCAACUGAUGGAAAGAACCAGGAAAGGGGUCAGGAUCUGCACCUUGGCAAACUUUGAAGAACACCCAAUUUGAUGAAUGAAAACUCCUCACUUGUGCUCUGGUGGUGUUUUAGGACAAUGGGCCCCUCCUGGAUGCUCCAGUGAAGCCCCAUAUCACCUUUUUCCUUCCUGUUUGCCAUAGCUCCAGGUGUAGGGACAGAUCAGAAGAUUCUGGAAAAGGCAGAUCACCAAAGAACUCAAGAUGUACUGAUAUUUUGCCAGUUUCCUUCAUCAACAAC
RNAcentral lists this long non-coding RNA (783 nucleotides) under Homo sapiens (human). RNAcentral describes it as "PREDICTED lncRNA (TCONS_00023564)". Lineage: Eukaryota; Metazoa; Chordata; Mammalia; Primates; Hominidae. The record is from RNAcentral.